Molecule: ribosomal RNA, 494 nt
Filed under: uncultured bacterium
Lineage: Bacteria
Description: partial 16S ribosomal RNA
Rfam family: Bacterial small subunit ribosomal RNA
Source: RNAcentral
GACGAACGCUGGCGGCGUGCCUAACACAUGCAAGUCGAACGGUGAAGCGCCUUCCUUUUUGGUGGGUGUGGAUGAGUGGCCGACGGGUUAGUAACUCGGUAGUAACCUGCCUCCUUCUUCUGGAUAACCGCAUGAAAGUGUGGCUAAUACGGGAUAUUCUGUGUCUGUCGCAUGAUGGGUCUGGGAAAGAUUUUGUUUCGGAGGGGGAUGGGCUCGGGUCUUAUCAGCUUGUUGGUGGGGGGAUGGCCUACCAAGGCGUAGACGGUUAGCCGGCCUGGGAGGGUGGACGGUCACGGUGGGACGGAGAGACCGCCCAUACUCCGGCGGGAGGCAGCGGGGAUGAUUGGUGCACGGGGGGAGCAAGACUGAUGCAGCGACGCCGCGGGAAGGAUGGAGGCCGUCUGGUUGAGACCCUCUUUCGCCAGUGAAGCGGGCCUGCCUCGUUUGUGGGUGGUUUGACGGUAGCUGAAUAAGAAGCGCCGGCUAACUACGUG